RNAcentral lists this ribosomal RNA (36 nucleotides) under Inocybe impexa. RNAcentral describes it as "partial 18S ribosomal RNA". The record is from RNAcentral. Lineage: Eukaryota; Fungi; Basidiomycota; Agaricomycetes; Agaricales; Inocybaceae.
ACCAGGUUUCCGUAGGUGACCUGCGGAGGAUCAUUA